Triticum dicoccoides is the source of this 1265-nucleotide long non-coding RNA. RefSeq lists it as uncharacterized. The transcript is spliced from 2 exons. The record is from RefSeq and is a predicted model, not a curated record. Lineage: Eukaryota; Viridiplantae; Streptophyta; Magnoliopsida; Poales; Poaceae.
CUUUCCACGCGGCUCUCAGCCCUCCUCCUUUGGUUCAGUCUGUGGGGAAAUCAGAAUUCAUCAUUGAAUCCUGUGGAUCAGCUCCCUUACAUAAUAAUAUUUCACUGUAUCAGCUACGAAGGGAAAAUCUGGAAGACAGAGGAUAGAGAGUGAGAGAAAGAGUGUGAGACUUGCGCCGCUCUCCAUUUCGAGGGGAUUUCGACGAUUCUGGGAGGCGAAUAAUAGGCUAGGAUUUGGAGGAGACACCGCCGCCCGACUCCUCAACACGCCGCCGACCGACUCCUCGACGCCGGCAUACCUCCUCCGCCGUACUGGCCUUCUCCCCGGUGGUAAGCCCUCGCCUCGCGUCUCCUCCUUUCUCCUCGUUGUCUAGAUUUCUUCCAUCCGCCUGGCCAUGGCUGCUGGCUCGUCCUCCCCGGCGAGCUCGCCGAGCACGCCGUCUCCCAGGACACCAAGGCCGUCACCAUGUUCACCUCCUCUUAGAUUCAGUCUCUGGCAACUGUAGUUGGGUGCUGUUUACCUAGAAUUGGUGUUGCUCAAUGGGAAUCGGUGGAAUAUUCUUUAGUUUGUAGUUAGGUUGCUGAUGUUACCGUGUCUGAUCGAUCUGAAAUAGCAAUAAUGUGGUGCAUCUUUUGGGAAGCCUCUGUUCUGAACUAGUUACUCGUUGUAUGGCUCGCAAUGAAACAUUGCCGCUGAAAACAAAUUUCAGUGGAACUGUCGACGUAGGUCUUGAUCCAAUUUCAUCGGCAUGCUGUAGAAAUUCUUUUGAUUAGAUGAUUGGCUGCCAACUGAAGUCAGGAGAUGUACCAGCUACAGAUUGCUGUACCAAUCAGUGGCAGAGCUAGCUAAUCAAUGGAGACGGGGCAAAAUACAAAGGGAUGUGGUUCAUGCGCAUUUUGCCCACUAAAACUGAUGAUUGGUUCUCCAUCUUCUUCUAUAAUCAAAUGGGAGUUUCUAGGCAGAGCCCGGGCAGCUGCCCAGGGUCGCCGGGAGGUGGCUCCGCCACUGGUACCAAUGAAAAGUUUUUAUUUGAUCAGACUUGUUAAGUUUUUACUGAAUUUUAAUCAGAUUGCUGUAACAGCUCCUUCUGUUCUUGUUAUGUGCUGCUUUGUUUUGAUUCGAUCUGUUGCGCAAGCUCGCGUUUCUCUGUAAAUCUCUGCAGACAAUGACUGUGAGCCGGCUGAGAUGUAAAUUCAGUGUUGAUAGUUGCCCUUUGUAUGUGUCCGUACGUGGUGAUAGCUUGAUAUAUGGCUGUUGAUUGCUCA